This 73-nucleotide transfer RNA is filed under the name Bacteriovorax sp. Seq25_V. It matches the Rfam family "tRNA". From Rfam's summary of the family: Transfer RNA (tRNA) molecules are approximately 80 nucleotides in length. Their secondary structure includes four short double-helical elements and three loops (D, anti-codon, and T loops). Further hydrogen bonds mediate the characteristic L-shaped molecular structure. tRNAs have two regions of fundamental functional importance: the anti-codon, which is responsible for specific mRNA codon recognition, and the 3' end, to which the tRNAs corresponding amino acid is attached (by aminoacyl-tRNA synthetases). tRNAs cope with the degeneracy of the genetic code in two manners: having more than one tRNA (with a specific anti-codon) for a particular amino acid; and 'wobble' base-pairing, i.e. permitting non-standard base-pairing at the 3rd anti-codon position. Lineage: Bacteria; Pseudomonadati; Bdellovibrionota; Bacteriovoracia; Bacteriovoracales; Bacteriovoracaceae. The record is from Rfam by way of RNAcentral.
GCGCGAGUAGCACAGUUGGUAGUGCGCCACCUUGCCAAGGUGGAGGUCGCCAGUUCGAACCUGGUCUCGCGCU